RNAcentral lists this ribosomal RNA (372 nucleotides) under uncultured organism. Its description in RNAcentral is "bacterial SSU rRNA". It matches the Rfam family "Bacterial small subunit ribosomal RNA", at positions 526 to 896 of the family's 1533-position model. The record is from RNAcentral.
CAGAGGGUGCAAGCGUUGUUCGGAAUUAUUGGGCGUAAAGCGCGUGUAGGCGGCUUUGCAAGUCGGGUGUGAAAUCCCUCAGCUCAACUGAGGAAGUGCGCCCGAAACUGCUUAGCUUGAGUGCCGGAGAGGAUGGCGGAAUUCCCCAAGUAGAGGUGAAAUUCGUAGAUAUGGGGAGGAACACCGGUGGCGAAGGCGGCCAUCUGGACGGUAACUGACGCUGAGACGCGAAAGCGUGGGUAGCAAACAGGAUUAGAUACCCUGGUAGUCCACGCCGUAAACGAUGAGAACUAGGUGUCGUGGGUGUUGACCCCCGCGGUGCCGUAGCUAACGCAUUAAGUUCUCCGCCUGGGAAGUACGGUCGCAAGACUA